GGCCUACCUGGGGGAGGUGCCCCAUGCUUGAGGUGCGGGGGCUCUCCUUGCUCUACGGCAAGGCCCAGAUCCUCUUCGGGGUGGACCU
This 88-nucleotide transfer RNA is filed under the name Thermus brockianus. Its description in RNAcentral is "tRNA-Leu". Lineage: Bacteria; Thermotogati; Deinococcota; Deinococci; Thermales; Thermaceae. The record is from RNAcentral.